Molecule: transfer RNA, 72 nt
Organism: Camelus ferus (Wild Bactrian camel)
Lineage: Eukaryota; Metazoa; Chordata; Mammalia; Artiodactyla; Camelidae
Rfam family: tRNA
About the family: Transfer RNA (tRNA) molecules are approximately 80 nucleotides in length. Their secondary structure includes four short double-helical elements and three loops (D, anti-codon, and T loops). Further hydrogen bonds mediate the characteristic L-shaped molecular structure. tRNAs have two regions of fundamental functional importance: the anti-codon, which is responsible for specific mRNA codon recognition, and the 3' end, to which the tRNAs corresponding amino acid is attached (by aminoacyl-tRNA synthetases). tRNAs cope with the degeneracy of the genetic code in two manners: having more than one tRNA (with a specific anti-codon) for a particular amino acid; and 'wobble' base-pairing, i.e. permitting non-standard base-pairing at the 3rd anti-codon position.
Source: Rfam
GAGGGCAAAGCUCAGUGGCAGAGCGCGUGCUUAGCAUGCAUGAUGUCCUGGGUUCAGUCCUCAGUGCCUCCA